This 2635-nucleotide unclassified non-coding RNA is filed under the name Bactrocera tryoni. Its description in RNAcentral is "calcium/calmodulin-dependent protein kinase kinase 2, transcript variant X1". Lineage: Eukaryota; Metazoa; Arthropoda; Insecta; Diptera; Tephritidae. The record is from RNAcentral.
CUCUCGUGAAUUAAAAAGUUUCGUACCAUAGUCUGCGGUCUUUUAUUAAUUCAAAACAUUGGAGCUGUUGCUGACAUUUGUUCGGAGAUAUAAUUUCUUAAGAUAUUUUGCGGUAUGGAAAAAUAAAUUGUAAUAAUUUAAAAGGCAUAAGACUAACCGCUGAAACCAUUAAAAGUUUGUGAAGUGAGAGCAUGUUGAAAUCGUAAAGCUGAAUUUUUGCUAACAAACAUUGGUACAUAUUUUGCAUGUAUCAUUGUGAUGAUGCCUAUUCUUAAAUAAACAUCUUAACCAAACGAAAUGCGAAAAGAGUACAACUAAAAUGAACAGUAUGAAUGAAAAAAGUAAUAUUAACCCAGAUAUGGACAAAUCGACAUCUGCAAUGAAUGUAUAUCCAACACAGCCUUUAAACCAUGUUACAUCGAAACUUGAUUGUCUUGAAAUGCACUCCAUGUAUCCAGAUGUGCCGUAUGUAAAUCCAUACUGUAGUCCUCGAACUAAUCGUCGAAGGCCUCCAUUAAGAGAAUCUCGUCGGGUUUCAACGGAACAAUCUGGAAGUUUUUUACAAUUAAAUCAAUACAAACUUAUGGACCAAAUUGGUCAGGGUUCAUACGGGCUAGUUAAACUGGCUUACUCUGAAGAGGACUCAACCCAUUACGCAAUGAAAAUUCUCUCGAAACGUCGAUUAAUAAGACAAGCCGGAUUGGCGAAGCGUGGCCUAAUUAAACCAAUUUCACCAUUAGAGAGAGUUUAUAGAGAAAUUGCCGUGCUAAAGAAAUUAGAUCAUCCAAACGUUGUAAAGUUGUUUGAAGUGUUAGAUGAUCCAUUGGAAGACUCCUUAUAUAUGGUUUUUGAACUAGUAAAACAGGGAUGUGUUUUGACAAUCCCAACAGAUUCGCCGUUAGCUGAGGAUAAAGCUUGGAGUAUUUUUCGUGACACAGUACUUGGUUUGGAAUAUUUACACUAUCAACACAUUAUCCAUGGUGAUUUGAAACCCGAAAAUCUGUUGCUCACUGAAUGCGGGCGCAUUAAAAUUGCCGAUUUAGGGGUCUGUAACGAAUUUUUCGGUGAAGAUGCAAUGAUAAGUAGCGGGAGUACGGCAGGCACUCCAGCAUUUAGAGCACCAGAAUCACUAAAACUCGGUCGACAUUUAUUUUGUGGGAAAGCUGCCGACAUUUGGUCUUUGGGUGUGACCCUUUACGCUCUGGUCUAUGGAAACGUACCAUUUAUUGCAAAUUCUAUUCCAAUUUUAUAUGAAAAAAUUAAAUUAGACCCGCUUGUGCUCUUCGAAGAGCCAAAAAUUAGUGAACAACUUCAGGACUGCAUUCGUAGAAUGUUAGCAAAAAAUCCUGACUCCAGAAUUUCUUUACAGCAAUUAAAAGAACAUACUUGGAUAACUAAAGGUGGUUUGCAUCCAUUAGCAAAUGUGAGUGAGAACUGUGACUUGGUCAAGGUUAGUGAAGAAGACAUCAGUACAGUUGUGCAAAGUAUUCCAAAACUAGACACACUGAUUUUAAUUAAAACAAUGCUCAAAAAUCACUCCUUUGGAAAUCCGUAUGUUAGCGAAAUUUUGCAUGAGUCGCAUCCACGUGAUAUAACUCGUUAUGAACAAUUUUUUCGAGCUGGGCGCUCUAAUUCUGCUCCUGGGUCAUACACACAGCAAAAUAAUGGCAAACUUUAUCCACUUACAUACAUAUGUAUGUAGAUUAUGCCUUGUGAGCAGAAUGUAUAUAUUUUCAAAUAAACCGGAAUCUAAAUAUAGUCGAUGAGACUAUUUCUAAUACAGACUAAUUGUAUUUAUACGAGCUUAAAUAUGUAUAAUAAAAACUUAUAGAUUUUUAUUAACCUUUUCGAAUAUGCAGCGAAUUCUCUCUUCGUGGUCGCUAACCAGGCGAAUAAGUUUUUUACCGCUGAAUACAUUUUAUAUGAUAUAAUAUUAUAUACUUACUUGUAAUACUGCAUUGAUAAAUAAAUUGAUGGUGAUCCCAUUUACAUUAGAAAACAGCUAAUCGUACAGCCUUAUCUAAACCAUUCGUCGUAUAAGGAAAUACUGAAAUGCUUUUUAAAAAUCCUACUAUUAGCACCCCUACAAAAACACAGGAUUAUUACUUGUAGAUAACAACUAAUUUCAAAUAUAAUUAUUUUAUUAUCACUUAUAUAUCUAUAAAAAUCAUGGUCUGAUUUGGAAAUUCAGAAGAACAUUUAUUAAUAUGACAGGCAAUGGUUUGUACUGGAACAUUUCAGAUAUAGACUUCUCCAAGUUCUAUUGCCUCAGCUCCCACUACAGCAUUCUCCAAAAUUAAUUGUGGGAUAUUAUAUGGACAACAAUAAUGGGUAGAAUAUUCCGAUGUUUGAUCAAUUUGACAUGGAUGAUUAUGAAAAACUACCAUCACUUACGGAACCAGAAUUUGAAAAUCUUAUACAUUAAUGACAACUCUAAUUAUUACAUAUGCACAUAUAAAAAGUUGUGUUGUACACAUUUAGAACUUUUUGAUCCAAACUUAAACACAUUAACAAUGCAAAUGUGAGAAAGUAGCUUAUUGUGAUUUUUUACAAUAAAUUAUUACUAUCCCAUAAUUCAUUUUUUAAGUCUAAUAAAAAUGCAGGUCAAUUUAUAAUUGGUGCGGUACACCAGAUA